Molecule: long non-coding RNA, 442 nt
Organism: Labeo rohita (rohu)
Lineage: Eukaryota; Metazoa; Chordata; Actinopteri; Cypriniformes; Cyprinidae
Exons: 3
Source: RefSeq, a predicted model, not a curated record
CUAUGGUAUGGUCGUGUGAAACAAACAAAACUGAAUCAUGCUGAUGUGUUUGAACAUCCUAAAGAUCAUGCAGCUUCUUCUCUAUCUGCUCAUAUGGUGUCAAACUGCAGAGACUUUAACAGAUCAGCUAACAGAUUUAGGUCAAAAUGUGACUAUAAACUGUGAUCUUGAUGUAAAUGAGGUUAUUUGGUCUUUGCUGAAACUAGAUUCUCCAGUUCUGAUAUUACGCACUUUCACAACUACAGCUCCUUUUUACUUAAAUAACACAUUUAGAGACAAAUAUAAAGUGCAAAGUAAAAACAAUUUGUUUAUAAUUAAUGUCACUACUGAUGAUUUAGGAGUUUAUUACUGUAUGAAAAUAGACCCUCCUCAAAAAUACAGCAGUGGCACGAGACUGUACAUCAUUGAACCAACUGCAGAGAUCCAGUCUCAUACAGUGGAG